GAAACUUGCCCCGAGAUGAGUUCUCCCUGACUCCUUGAGAGUCCUGAAGGAACGUUGAAGACGACGACGUUGAUAGGCCGGGUGUGUAAGCGCAGCGAUGCGUUGAGCUAACCGGUACUAAUGAACCGUGAGGCUUAACCUUACAACGCCGAAGGUGUUU
This 160-nucleotide ribosomal RNA is filed under the name Escherichia coli. RNAcentral's name for it is "partial 23S ribosomal RNA". The stretch from base 1 to 142 matches the Rfam family "Bacterial large subunit ribosomal RNA", at positions 2789 to 2925 of the family's 2925-position model. The record is from RNAcentral. Lineage: Bacteria; Pseudomonadati; Pseudomonadota; Gammaproteobacteria; Enterobacterales; Enterobacteriaceae.